GGCCACUUGGAAGGAGCUGUACUUGGUGGCGCACUUCGCCGAGGUCAGCACCAGGUUCUCCUUGAGAAUGACGGCGCUACAGAAACCUUCAGAGUCUGCGCUCUUGAGAAGGCCCUGCAAACCGCGUCAAAACAGCCCACAGAGCUGUACUUGGUGGCGCACUGCACCGGGGUCAGCACCAGGCUCUCUUUCGAAUGACAGCGCUACAGAAACCUUCAGAGUUGGAGCUCUUGAGAAGCGUCGAAACGGCCCACGGGGACUUGCCAGAAUCUGCCACUUACAGUCGUGUCUAUUUGAAGUGAAUUGCUUCACUUGCUUCACAACUGUCAAAGAUGGCGGCCAGCGACAGAGUGGGACUAAUGAAGCCAAGCUUGGGUACAAGAGCCCUAUCUGCACAAAAUCCACCAUGAGAUUUGGAGCGUGUGGCUACCUGCCA
Molecule: long non-coding RNA, 436 nt
Organism: Syngnathus typhle (broad-nosed pipefish)
Lineage: Eukaryota; Metazoa; Chordata; Actinopteri; Syngnathiformes; Syngnathidae
Exons: 3
Source: RefSeq, a predicted model, not a curated record